Molecule: long non-coding RNA, 7896 nt
Filed under: Physcomitrium patens
Lineage: Eukaryota; Viridiplantae; Streptophyta; Bryopsida; Funariales; Funariaceae
Description: long non-coding RNA (PPAT_LNC008361)
Source: RNAcentral
UUGGUUUAGGGUUUGGUUUAGGAUUUGGUUAGGAUUUGGUUUAGGAUUUUAUUGGGGUUUGGUUUAAGAUUUGUUUAAGGCUUGAUUUAGGAUUUAGGAUUUUAUUAGGAUUUAAGAUUCAAUUAGUUUUGGCCUAAAGUUUGAAUGAAGUUCAAUAGGAUUUUAACUAGAAUUAAAUUAAGAUUGAAUUGAGAUGUAUUUGAGUGAUAUUUGUGAUUCUUCUAAUAUUUCUUUAAGAAUUCUUAUUAUCUGUUUGAAAUUUCUUUGAGUUUUUUUUGAAUUUUUUUAAGCUUGCUUAGUAUUAUUAUGGUCUAAUUAGAGCAUUAUUAGUAUUCUAUUAGAAUUAGGAUUUUGUUAUUGCAAUUUUCAUUCUUCCUUCUACAGCGAGGUGUUCAAAGCAUUCUUAAGCAAGACUUCAUGUAUUACAACAUAUUUGAUGAAUCUGACAUGAAACGCUUGAGAUAGAAGGAAUUUGGUUCAUUUUUUGGAUUAAUUGAAUUUUUGAAAAGGAAUUCAAGGAAAAUGGAAGGAAGAAAUUUUGAUGGUGCUUCAAGUGGAAUUGGAAGAGGAGCUUCGAUUGGAGGACAAGGUAUGCAUUUUGAUCCUAACUCUACAAGCAUGUUUGAAGCUUUGGCCUUAUUCAUGCAAUAACAAUAGCAACAGGUUAAAGAUUACAAAGAGAAUAUGGCUAACAAAGUAUUACAAGCGGUUGUAGAUAAGAUUGAUCAAUUUGAAAGAAAGGAUAUUACAAAAUAUUUAUGAUGUUAUGUAAAAGAAAUGGAAUUGAAGCGUAUUUCAGAAAAAGAAAUGGUUUAACUAUUUGAAUUAGCCUUUGCUCGAGAGAUAAGAAAUCAAGUAAAGUUUCUUAUACAACAUUUUGGAGGUUCAUGGGAGAAAUUUUGUCAAGCAUUCAAGAAUGAGUUUUUCUUAGAAGAUAGUGAUAGGGUUACAAAAAGGUCUUUUUUUGAAUGGAUUGAAAGGCGAGAGAAGGACCUUCUAGCAAUAGAAUUAUUAAAGAAGUUUGAAAAGUAAUAUUCUUCUUUAUAAAAGAAAGAAAGAUAAUUAUUGGAUCCAAGUAAGGUGGAGCUCUUUCUUCAAGCAACUGAUGGAAAGUUGCAAGAAAACUUAGAAAUCAUGCUUGAAGAUAAAGAAGAAGAUGAAGGAUUGACAAAAAAUUAAAAAAGGAUAGAGGAGGUUGUAAGGUCGUUGAAAAAAAGAAAAAGGAAAAAAGAUAUGAGAGGUGACCAAAGACCAUUAUAAGCAUCUAAAGUAAAGGUAUCUAGUAUCCAUCUCACAUCUUUGAUUCAACCUUCAAUGACUACAUCAAAAAAAGAAGCAAUAGGAAUUGAUGAAAUCAUAUGUGGGAUGAGAGAUUUGCAAAUAAAAUUUACAAAACUUGAAGAAAAGGAUCAAUCAUCAAGAAUAUCAAUAAAACAAAGACCAGGGCCAAUGGAAGGUGUAGUACGUAGGUACGUAUGGUGUGAUAGCAUAGAUCACUCAAGGAGGGAAUGUGAAGAUUUUAUAGAGGCAUUACAUAAAGGAGUUGUUUUUUUUAAGAUGGUAUGAUACACUCAAAAGAAAGUGGAGAAAAAUUGGAAACAAAUUUUGGUAAAGGAAGAAUGAAGUUAUUUAUUGGAGAUACAUUUAAAGUGCAUACAAUCUCAAACAAUGAAGCAUCAACAUAUUGGGUGGAAGCAGAUCCUAGUAGAUGUUUAAGUAUAAAUUUUGAGUUUUCAAGAGAAUCUAGUUCUUUGUAGACAAGUGCAAUGAGUUAUGCUGAAAGUGAAAAUUUUAUUAGAGAUGAUUUAAAACAUGUUGGUAAUAACAUUCGACAAAUUAUUGGGUGGGAUGAUCCAGUAGAUAGAUUAUCUGUAUAUGCUCAUAUUACAAGGAGUCAAUAUGAAGCAUUAAUAGAAGAAAAAUGAAGGAGAGAUGAAAAUAAUAAAGGGCCCUCAAAAAAAACUACAAGGGGAGAAAAAGCAUGACAAUAAAAGAAUUCUAUUCAUGAAGAGACAAUAGAGAACAUUUCUUAGAAAGGAAGGAAAAUUGAAAAAGAAAAAGCAAAGGCUCCUACUUAUAAAUUAUAAUCAGAUAUUGAAGCUACUACAGAUUUGAAGAAGGUAUUAGAGGAGUUGAUUUUAAGUGGAAAGGUUGAAUUCACAAUUGGUGAAAUUUUAGGAAUUACAAAGCAUGAAUUUCAUGAAGUUAUUAUUGAUACAAUAAAGAAAAAACGACAAUCUAUAGGAGACUCUAUGACAUCAAAUGCAUAAAGAACAAGAGCAAUAGAAAGAAAUAAAGAGGAAGAAGAUGAAAUACAAAAUUUUGGGGAUGUCUUGCGAGUAAGAUUUGCAAAAAAAGAAGAUGUCAUUCAAGCUUCUAGCCAUUAUUCUAGAAGUUAUUGGGCAAGGGCUACAAUGGAGACUUUAAUAAAAUUGAGAAAUUUAGAAGAACCACUUAUAGCAUUGAUUGAUCAUGGUUUUGAAAUCAAUUUGAUGUCAAAAGAAUUAUAUAAUAAGAAAAAAUGGCCUAUUGAUACUAAACAUGGAUGGAUGAUAAGAGCUGCAAAUAAUUCAAAUGGAGAUUUGUAUGGAAUAUGUCCAAAUAUCAAUAUGACAAUAAAAGAAGUUAUUCAUGAAUAAAAUUUCUUUGUGAAAGACAUGUCUACAUAUCCUAUUAUAUUGGGAGAAUCAUAUAUUAUUUCUACACAAAUAGAAAUAAAAGUAAUGGAUGACGGUUUAGCGUAUGCAAGAAUAAGAAACCAAGAUGGAGUAAAAGCAGUUCAAUUUUUAACUGUUUGUGCUAAUCUUGAGAAAAAUCAUGAUAAGUAGAGAGAAAAGCCAUUAUCAAAUGAGAAAUUUGAAGACCUUGAGGAUUUUUACCGCAUACCAUUGUAAAGCGGGGUUGCAAUAGAUUAAAGAAAGAAAAGCUCCUACUUAAUUUAGAAGAAGAAUCAUUAUCUACCAAACUUACUAGGAUGACACAAGAUUGUGUAUUGACUUUUAAGAAUAUUGAUAAGAUAAAAAUGAAGAAUAGAUGUUAUAUCAAAAAUAUUGAGCAAAAUUUUAAAAAAAAUAGAGAAUUAGUUGAAACUGAAUUUAUUUCAAGAGCAUAUGAAGAAGUAGGUUUUAUAGAUACUAUGGAAGAAUUAAAUUAUCUAUUAUAAUGUAGAUUACAAGUAGAAAAUAGAGUUAUUAAUGUGUGUUCUAAAGAAUUUUAUGAUGAAAUUUAAGGAUUUAUAGAAAAUUUAAGUCGCCAAGAGGUAUGUGUUGAAACUAAAUAUAAAUCCAUAGCAAGGAAGGUCAAAUCAGUGGCUUUACUACUACCAUCUGAUUGUGAAGAAAAGAUAAGUGGAGCAUCGACACAACCAAAUUUAAGAAAUCUAAGGAAGAUAGACCAUAAAUUUACGGAUGUUAUAUUAGAUGGAUUAAAUGUUGGAGGCUAUGGAUUUUUGACAAAAUGUAAAAAAAAAAUUUAGGGAUAUGCUUUCACGUCUUGGAAAGGCUUUUGCAUUUGAGGCACAUGAAAUUAGGUGUGUUGAUCCAAGUAUUGUAGCACCUAUGGUUAUUUUUACUAUUCCUUAUGAACCAUGGAAUUUGCAACCAAUUCCACUACCAAGAGUAUAUUUAUCUAAGUUAGUAGAUUUACUCAAUAAAAAGAUUAAAAUGGAAAUUUUGAAACCAUCUACGGUACCUUAUUCUAAUCAAUGGUUUAUAAUGCCAAAGAAAAAUGGAACAAUGAGAUUUAUACAAGAUAUGCAACUCGUAAAUAAAGUGACUAUUAGAAAUAUGGAUUCAAGUCCAAUUGUGGAUGAAUUUACAGAAGCAUUUGCUGGAAGAGCUAUCUACUCAAUAGGUAAUCUUUAUUUAGGUUAUGAUCAAUUUCAAUUGGCAAUACAAAGUAGGGAUUUGACAACUAUGAAGACACCAUUAGGAUUAGUUAGAAUGUGCACAUUACCACAAGGGACUACAAAUUCUAUAGCACAUAUGAUGAAUGGAAUGCAUAAGGUAUUAAGAGAGUUUAUUCUAAGAAUAACAAUGCCUUUCUUGGAUGAUGUACCUAUUAAGAAAUGUGAAAAAGAAAGAAAAGAUGAAACUUUGGAUUUAAAGGGAUGUAGAAAGUUUGUGGCAGAUCAUAUUGAAGAUUGUGAGAAGAUUUUGAAAAGAUUGGAAGAAGUUCAUUUAACCUUAUCGGGGGCAAAAUCAAUGUUUGGAGUAAAAGAAAUUUUGGUGGUAGGACACAUAUGUGGUUCAUAUGGACGUAAGUCAAGUAUAAAAAAGAUUAAUAUUAUAAAAAGUUGAAAGAAUGUACAAAUACAAUGGAAGUGAGAAGAUUUUUAGGAGCAUGUAUCUUCUAUCAUAUAUGGAUACCUCAUUUUGCACAUAUCGCAGAUUCAUUGUAUGAGUUGUUAAGAAAGAAUCAAAAAUUUCAAUGGAAAGAAGAACAACGAAAAGCUAUAGAAAAAUUGAAAGAACUUUUUUUUUCAUCUCCAAAUUUGAAGAAAGUAAAUUAUGAAGGUGGAAGGCUAGUGGUAUUAACAGUUGAUGUAAGUUCAAUUGGAAUAGGUUGGACGGCUGGACAAGAUGAUGAACAAGGGAAUAGAUAUGUAUUAAGAUUUGGAGUAAAGGUAUUGAAUUCCUGGCAAAGGACAUAUGCGCAAAUCAAAAGAGAAUUAUGAGGUGUAGUAAUAGCUAUGAAAAAUGAAAAAGAAUACUUGAUUGGGGCAUCAGUAGUUAUAGAAACAGAUUGUCUACCUUUGUUAGGCAUGAUUACAAGUUGUUCAAUUCCUGAUAUUGCUAUGUUGAAGUGGAUAGCAUAUAUCAAAUCUAUGAAUCUAGAAUUUAAACAUAUUGCAGAGAAAGAAAAUUCAAUUGUAGAUAUGUUAUCAAGAGUAAGGUAUAUUGAUAAAGAAAAGAUGAUUGAUUUAGAAGAUGAUGUGAGUACAAAAUUUUAUACCAAUGCGUUAUCAAAGGAAAAGAGUAUAUGUUUUAAUAUACCAUUGAAAACAUUUUUAAGAGAUUUAUAUGAAAAUGAAUGAGAAGAUGUUGGGGAGUAUUUGAGCUUAUUAAAGUGACAAAAAGGUUGGACGGAUUAAAAAUUUAAGAAAAUCCGUAAGAAAGCCUAUGGAUAUUUUUUACAUGAUGGAUAUUUAUAGAAGCAUCCAAAAAAAAGGAGAAGUACCACAAAGGGUGAUAUGUGGUUUAGAAGCUCAACAAAGGAUUAUUAAAGAAUUUCAUGAAAAUUUAUGAGUUGGGCAAUAUUGACUAAGAUAAGAGAAAAAUAUUGGUGGAAGGAAAUGUACAAAGACAUAGCAAAAUUUGUAGAAUCUUGCGAGACUUGCCAAGUAUAUUCAAAUAUUCGGCAUCGAGAUGGAUUACAUCCAACAUAUCCUUUGGCUUUACAUUACAAGUAGGUAGUAGAUUCAAUAGCAAUGCCUAUGGAACUUGGACAAAUAAAGUAUUUGAUACUUGUACGAAAAGAUUUAUCAAAUAUGGUUGAAGGACGAGCAUUAAAAACAAAGGAUACUAAAAGGGUAUGCUGAUUUCUAUUAGAAGAAGUUAUUUGUCGCUAUGGUUGUAUUAGAAAAAUCACGAUGGAUAGGGAUAAAUUAGAUGCAAAAGAAGUACAAGAAUUCUUUAGUAGAAUAGGAAUUAAACUUUCUUUAACAACAGCAUAUAAUCCAGAAGGUAAUGGUAAAAAUAAGCAUGGGCAUUCACCUAUUGUUAAGGCAUUAGUAAAGGCAUGCAAUGGCAAAGCACAUAAAUGGCCUAGACUACUACCAAUUGUACUAUGGACAGAUCGUACAAUUCAUAGUUCGGUAACAGGUUAUAUGCCUUCUAAAUUAAUAUAUGGAGAAAAAUCAAUAAUGCUAAUAGAAGAUGUAGUACCUACAUGGGGUAUAUUGCCUUGGAAGAAUGAUCUCAACAGAGAAGAACUUUUAGGAUUACGGAUUCAACAACUAGAAAGAAGACCCAAUGAUAUUGAAAUAGCAAUAAAAAAAUUGAAAGAAGCAAGGAAGAAGAAUAAUGAAAGAUUUGAUAAAAAAAAACAUCGACUAUAACCCAAGGCUAUUGAAGAUGGUGAUUGGGUAUUAGUUUAUGAUAGUAGCUUAGACAAUCAACAUAGCACUAUGAAGAAGUUUGCAAAGAGAUGGUUUGGACUUUAUAUUGUCAAAAAGGCAUACAACAAUGGAACAUAUUCAUUAUAAGAACUUGAUGGUACAGAAUUGAAGGUUCUCAUAGCAUACAAACGAAUCAAGUUAUUUAAACAAAGAGAUGAAGGUAUUUUUUUUGAUGAAGAACAAAAUCCAAUACAAGAUAUUGAGAUUGAAAUAGAAGAGCAUAUAGAAGAUCAAGAAUUGUACCAAGAUGAAGAACAUUCUACAUGAACAUAUUGAAGAAUCCUUGGCGCAUGUCGGAAGAUGCAGAGAUUCAGGGAGGGUGGAUGUCAUGAUGUAACACGAUUAAUAGGUGAAAGAAUAUGGAAAUUAUUAUAAUUUAGGAGAUCUUAGUUCAAAAUAUUAGAAAAAAUUAUCUUAGAAAUAUAAUUAAUAGUCAAAGGGGUAGAAAAAUUAAAAGGUACCAAUGCUGCCUUUAGAAAGGUGACUUCUACUUAUUUUGUAGCACCAUAAGUAAGGCAAAUCAAAGUAGAUUUGGAAAAUAAAUGAUAUAGGCAACUUUAGAAGAAAGUUAAGAGUAAAUUUUAAAAAAAGGUUAUUUAGAAAAACUAGAUAUUGAUACCUGGAGAAGGCCAGUUAUGAACUAGGGUCGAAAUCAGACCCUGGGGCACAAAACCGAGUCUCAACAAUGACUCCAGGGUUCUUUUGGAAAUUGGAGAGUGAGGUUUGAAAGCAGACUGAAUAGGAUUUUUAUGAGCUAUGAGUUUGGAUGAUUUGAAGUUGAUAUGACUUUGUAAGAGCUUUGCAAAGUCAAGGUUUGUUUUGGAUGACUUGGAUUUUAUGAAAUAAAAUAGGGUUUAUAUUUUGGAUGAUUUCAAGAGUUUUGUAAUAGAUCUAUAGAUGAAAUUUUUUGGAUUUAUGGUUAUAGUUGUUUUCAAUUUGUAUCAUAAAUUUGAGCUCGAUCUAACGGUUCAAUUGAAGAAUAUUGAGGUUUAAAUUGGUCAAGAUCUCAAAAAGUAGAAUUUUAGGUUUAGUACAGGUUUUUGAGAUUUCUUACAAUCUAUUAGUUGGAUUGGAGUGAAACUUACGUGAAAGGAUAUUAAACUUGAUUUUCUAUGUGUACAAGAAUUUUGAAAUUAAUUAAACAGUGCAAAAAAGAGAUAUUGGCUCUGGAAGAUUGGCAUCAAGAUUGGAGAAGGAGGCCGGCCAAUACCUGAGCACAUUUUUGAAGUUAUCGUCAAUUUAGUAACUCUGAUCCUUUUCAAUUUGUUUUUUUACUUGUUUUUAAAUGAUUUGUUUAGAAGUGUGUAAAAUUUAAGUUAAGAUCAAUGGUUUAUUCAUUAGUUAUUAAGGUUUAAAUCUGUUAUAGGAAUUACUAGGGUUUCAUUUAGGGUUUGGUUAGGAUUUGGUUUAGGAUUUUAUUGGGGUUUGGUUUAAGGUUUGUUUAAGGUUUGAUUUAGGAUUUAGGAUUUUAUUAGGAUUUAAGAUUCAAUUAGUUUUGGCCUAAAGUUUGAAUGAAGUUCAAUAGGAUUUUAACUAGAAUUAAAUUAAGAUUGAAUUGAGAUGUAUUUGAGUGAUAUUUGUGAUCCUUCUAAUAUUUCUUUAAGAAUUCUUAUUAUCUGUUUAAAAUUUCUUUGAGUUUUUUUUGAAUUUUUUUAAGCUUGCUUAGCAUUAUUAUGGUUUAAUUAGAGUAUUGUUAGUAUUCUAUUAGAAUUAAGAUUUUGUUAUUGUAAUUUUCAUUCUUCCUUCUACAACAAGGUGCUCAGAGCAUUCUUAAGCAA